Molecule: ribosomal RNA, 449 nt
Filed under: uncultured bacterium
Lineage: Bacteria
Description: partial 16S ribosomal RNA
Rfam family: Bacterial small subunit ribosomal RNA
Source: RNAcentral
CCUACGGUGGGCUGCAGUGGGGAAUUUUGGACAAUGGGCGCAAGCCUGAUCCAGCCAUGCCGCGUGCGGGAAGAAGGCCUUCGGGUUGUAAACCGCUUUUGUCAGGGAAGAAAUUGCUCGGGCUAAUACCCUGGGCCGAUGACGGUACCUGAAGAAUAAGCACCGGCUAACUACGUGCCAGCAGCCGCGGUAAUACGUAGGGAGCGAGCGUUAAUCGGAAUUACGCAGGGUAUAGCGUGAGCAGGAGGUGAAAUCCCCGGGCUCAACCUGGGAACUGCAUGUGUGACUGCACGGCUUGAGUACGGUAGAGGAGGAUGGAAUUCCGCGUGUAGCAGUGAAAUGCGUAGAUAUGCGGAGGAACACCGAUGGCGAAGGCAGUCCCCUGGGCCUGUACUGACGCUCAUGCACGAAAGCGUGGGGAGCAAACAGGAUUAGAUACCCUAGUAGUC